ACUUUUCCUUUCCUUGGCCAGUCAAGUUGGCAGCAGAAGCAGAGCCUGCUGAUAUACUGGGCUUUUCUUCGAAAUUAGAUGAUUGCUGUUGACAGCUUGAUAAGUCCUGAAUUCUUCUGAACUACCAGUUAAAUGAGGUUAUAAUUCAACGCUUUCACUGGGUGUGCGAUUUUAAUUAUAAAUACUUUCAAUUUAGACAUUUUAUCUUUUAAAAAAAUAUUUAUAUGUAUAAUCUUAAGGCAAAUUUCAUAUUUUGGUCUCUCUACUAUAAGAGUUUGGUUGGGUAAAUUACAUGGGCGAUCUCUCAAGUUUGCUCUAAGUAUCACAAUAAUAUCUACUUUUUUUUUUCUAUCAUUAAACUUUUUAAUUUUUAAUUAAGAUAUCACUAAACUCCUUUUCGCUAGUCUUCGUUUAAGAGAUAAACAUAAAUUUAAUAUAGCAGUCCAUUUGAUUAAAUUUUUUCUUAAAAAUCUACAUGUCUUCCUUACAUGCCAAUAAAAUUAAGACAUUUGACACUUAUUUAAAAAUAAAAGAAAUA
This is a long non-coding RNA of Ricinus communis (castor bean), 538 nucleotides long. RefSeq lists it as uncharacterized. NCBI's taxonomy places the organism in Eukaryota, Viridiplantae, Streptophyta, Magnoliopsida, Malpighiales, Euphorbiaceae. The transcript is spliced from 2 exons. The record is from RefSeq and is a predicted model, not a curated record.